Molecule: long non-coding RNA, 252 nt
Organism: Vigna angularis (adzuki bean)
Lineage: Eukaryota; Viridiplantae; Streptophyta; Magnoliopsida; Fabales; Fabaceae
Exons: 3
Source: RefSeq, a predicted model, not a curated record
AUGUCAAUGCAAAACUAAGAACGCAGACGAAUUUACCUCCAGACUUUUAGAUAUUCAUUCCCAGAUGCUACAGAUUAACAAAACAGAGGAUAUACGCUUGGCAAUAAUGCGUUCGGAUUAUAUGGUUGAUGAUAAGACUAAAUCACUUCUGCAAAUAGAGAUGAACACCAUUUCCACUUCAUUUGCUUUGAUUGGAUGUCUUAUGACUGGACUUCAUAAGAGCUUAAUUUCUCAAUAUGGAAAUAUCCUUGU